ACGGAGGAUGCGAGCGUUAUCCGGAUUUAUUGGGUUUAAAGGGUGCGUAGGUGGUGAUUUAAGUCAGCGGGGAAAGUUUGCGGCUCAACCGUAAAAUUGCCGUUGAAACUGGGUUACUUGAGUGUGUUUGAGGUAGGCGGAAUGCGUGGUGUAGCGGUGAAAUGCAUAGAUAUCACGCAGAACACCGAUUGCGAAGGCAUCUUACUGAACCAUAACUGACACUGAGGCACGAAAGCUUGGGGAUCAAACAG
Molecule: ribosomal RNA, 251 nt
Filed under: uncultured prokaryote
Description: partial 16S rRNA
Rfam family: Bacterial small subunit ribosomal RNA
Source: RNAcentral